This 876-nucleotide ribosomal RNA is filed under the name Staphylococcus sp. RNAcentral describes it as "bacterial SSU rRNA". It matches the Rfam family "Bacterial small subunit ribosomal RNA", at positions 77 to 936 of the family's 1533-position model. The record is from RNAcentral. Lineage: Bacteria; Bacillati; Bacillota; Bacilli; Caryophanales; Staphylococcaceae.
AGCUUGCUUCUCUGAUGUUAGCGGCGGACGGGUGAGUAACACGUGGGUAACCUACCUAUAAGACUGGGAUAACUCCGGGAAACCGGGGCUAAUACCGGAUAAUAUUUUGAACCGCAUGGUUCAAUAGUGAAAGACGGUUUCGGCUGUCACUUAUAGAUGGACCCGCGCCGUAUUAGCUAGUUGGUAAGGUAACGGCUUACCAAGGCGACGAUACGUAGCCGACCUGAGAGGGUGAUCGGCCACACUGGAACUGAGACACGGUCCAGACUCCUACGGGAGGCAGCAGUAGGGAAUCUUCCGCAAUGGGCGAAAGCCUGACGGAGCAACGCCGCGUGAGUGAUGAAGGUCUUCGGAUCGUAAAACUCUGUUGUUAGGGAAGAACAAAUUUGUUAGUAACUGAACAAGUCUUGACGGUACCUAACCAGAAAGCCACGGCUAACUACGUGCCAGCAGCCGCGGUAAUACGUAGGUGGCAAGCGUUAUCCGGAAUUAUUGGGCGUAAAGCGCGCGUAGGCGGUUUCUUAAGUCUGAUGUGAAAGCCCACGGCUCAACCGUGGAGGGUCAUUGGAAACUGGGAAACUUGAGUGCAGAAGAGGAGAGUGGAAUUCCAUGUGUAGCGGUGAAAUGCGCAGAGAUAUGGAGGAACACCAGUGGCGAAGGCGGCUCUCUGGUCUGUAACUGACGCUGAUGUGCGAAAGCGUGGGGAUCAAACAGGAUUAGAUACCCUGGUAGUCCACGCCGUAAACGAUGAGUGCUAAGUGUUAGGGGGUUUCCGCCCCUUAGUGCUGCAGCUAACGCAUUAAGCACUCCGCCUGGGGAGUACGACCGCAAGGUUGAAACUCAAAGGAAUUGACGGGGACCCGCACAAGCGGUGGA